This is a long non-coding RNA of Columba livia (rock pigeon), 1339 nucleotides long. RefSeq lists it as uncharacterized. The record is from RefSeq and is a predicted model, not a curated record. NCBI's taxonomy places the organism in Eukaryota, Metazoa, Chordata, Aves, Columbiformes, Columbidae. The transcript is spliced from 3 exons.
GACUCGAUCUUAAAUGUCUUUUCCAACCUAAAUGAUUCUUAGUUCUGUGAUGCUAUUCUUUGAUUUUUCAGCCUUGUGAGCAGAUUAUCGAACUGUGCAGGCGCAUAACAAAGCACCUGGGACCCAAAGACCUCAGGUGGCUGACAUUCUUCAAGAACUGCAUGAAACAAAUCAGAAGCAGGGAAAAUUAGAGGAAAUUGUGUUUGUGGAAGAAGCAGUCAUGUUAAAAUCAGAGAUGGAGGUUUGAGCCACCAGAAGAGAGAAACUUAAGCAUCCUCAUGCAUCACCUUUCUGUCUGUGUAACUAUACAGCGCUGAAUCAUAAUUUUUUUUUAGCAAUCACCUGCAGCCAUACGCUUGGCGAGACAGUACUGCUGUUGGUACAUGCACUUCCUGGGGUGUGGUGAGCACAGGCACUCGACUGAAGAAGCAUUCCCUUGACAUUUCUGCUGUUCAAGGCAUUCACACAGACAUUUACAACAGCAAGUCUUGCUGAGCACAGAAUUGUGGCUGAAGUAAAUAAUCAUAUUUCAUGUUAAUUUGAAUACCUCAUCCUGUUGCUGUUUAGCUUUGCCAGCAUAUUCAGAGUAAUAUUCUCUGGAAGCUUCUCCAGUGAAGUUCUGUCGGGAGUUCACUGCUGUUGGAACAAAACAUCUGUUUCCAGCUGUGUUUCCUUCAAGCUUUUGUGUGGGACUUAGCAUUCAGCAGUCUUCAGAGCUUCUCCAAAUAAUAGUUAAUUUUCUUUCCCAACAUCUUACCAGUUUACCAUAGCUGAAGAGCAGUUGAUGUGCACCAAAAGAAGCUGCUGCCAGUCAAACACCAGUUCAUUUCAACCAUUGGUUCAUGUCCUGUAAAACCUCCAAGAUGGGGCUUCUUGACUAUUUUAGCAGAAAUGUUUGAGAAACACUUGGAUACUUUGGGAAUGGGUUUAGGUGUUGAUUUAUACAGAAAUGGGCAAUAAACGGCUUCUACCGAUUAAGAGCUUGGGAAGCUUGUGUAACAAUCUGUUCUGUUUCAAAUUUCUGACCUGAGAUAACCCAUGUAAUUCAUCUGCCUUAUUUGAGUGUUGUAAGAAUAGCCGCAUGUUCCUAUAUAUUCUGGUAUCAUAGUAAUAGGAGCUAUGUAAAUGCUUUAGCAAGACAGAUAAAAUAGCAGGGGACAGAGAUAAUCCCUGGCAUGUCUCCUGGGCACCUCCCAUCUAAAUAUGAAUCACUCUUCACCCAGGCAGAUUUUAUUUACGUCCUUAUUCACAACCACACAUUUAGGAUGUGGAUGUGGUGACACUAGUUAUUUUGUCUUUAGUUUUUUGCAAAAAAGGUAAAGAAACUACAGUUAGAUGU